This 232-nucleotide ribosomal RNA is filed under the name Clostridioides difficile. Its description in RNAcentral is "partial 23S ribosomal RNA". It matches the Rfam family "Bacterial large subunit ribosomal RNA", at positions 271 to 505 of the family's 2925-position model. The record is from RNAcentral. Lineage: Bacteria; Bacillati; Bacillota; Clostridia; Peptostreptococcales; Peptostreptococcaceae.
AAACCAAUAAAGUUUUCUUUAUUGGGGUUGCGGACAUAUCAUAACGAAGAGGUAUCGUAAUUGAAGAGGUUUGGAAAGACCCACCACAGAAGGUAAUAGUCCUGUAUGUUAAACGAGAAGACUUCAGAUAUGAUCCAGAGUACCACGGGACACGUGAAACCCUGUGGGAAGCAGGAGGGACCACCCUCCAAGGCUAAAUACUACCUAGUGACCGAUAGCGUAUAGUACCGUG